Molecule: ribosomal RNA, 496 nt
Filed under: uncultured bacterium
Lineage: Bacteria
Description: partial 16S ribosomal RNA
Rfam family: Bacterial small subunit ribosomal RNA
Source: RNAcentral
AUGAACGCUGGCGGCGUGCCUAAUACAUGCAAGUCGAGCGAACAGAUGAGGAGCUUGCUCCUCUGACGUUAGCGGCGGACGGGUGAGUAACACGUGGAUAACCUACCUAUAAUACUGGGAUAACUUCGGGAAACCGGAGCUAAUACCGGAUAAUAUAUUUAACCGCAUGGUUCAAUAGUGAAAGACGGUUUUGCUGUCACUUAUAGAUGGAUCCGCGCCGCAUUAGCUAGUUGGUAAGGUAACGGCUUACCAAGGCAACGAUGCGUAGCCGACCUGAGAGGGUGAUCGGCCACACUGGAACUGAGACACGGUCCAGACUCCUACGGGAGGCAGCAGUAGGGAAUCUUCCGAAAUGGGCGAAAGCCUGACGGAGCAACGCCGCGUGAUUGAUGAAGGUCUUCGGAUCGUAAAACUCUGUUAUUAGGGAAGAACAAAUGUGUAAGUAACUAUGCACGUCUUGACGGUACCUAAUCAGAAAGCCACGGCUAACUACGUG